AAUCAACGCUGGCGGCGUGCCUAACACAUGCAAGUCGCACGAGAAAGGGACUUCGGUCCUGAGUACAGUGGCGCACGGGUGAGUAACACGUGAAUAAUCUACCUCCGAGUGGGGAAUAACUGAGAGAAAUCUUAGCUAAUACCGCAUAACACUUACGAGUCAAAGCAGCAAUGCGCUUGGAGAGGAGUUCGCGGCAGAUUAGUUAGUUGGCAGGGUAAUGGCCUACCAAGACGAUGAUCUGUAUCCGGCCUGAGAGGGCGCACGGACACACUGGAACUGAAACACGGUCCAGACUCCUACGGGAGGCAGCAGUGGGGAAUUUUGCGCAAUGGGGGAAACCCUGACGCAGCAACGCCGCGUGGAGGAUGAAAUCCCUUGGGAUGUAAACUCC
Molecule: ribosomal RNA, 391 nt
Filed under: uncultured bacterium
Lineage: Bacteria
Description: bacterial SSU rRNA
Rfam family: Bacterial small subunit ribosomal RNA
Source: RNAcentral